RNAcentral lists this ribosomal RNA (253 nucleotides) under uncultured bacterium. RNAcentral's name for it is "partial 16S ribosomal RNA". It matches the Rfam family "Bacterial small subunit ribosomal RNA", at positions 524 to 776 of the family's 1533-position model. The record is from RNAcentral.
UACAGAGACUGCAAGCGUUAUUCGGAUUCACUGGGCGUAAAGGGUGCGCAGGCGGCCUGGCAAGUGGAAGGUGAAAUCCCUCGGCUUAACCGAGGAACUGCCCUCCAAACUGCUUGGCUUGAGACCGGGAGAGGUGAGUGGAAUUCCCAGUGUAGCGGUGAAAUGCGUAGAUAUUGGGAGGAACACCAGUGGCGAAGGCGGCUCACUGGACCGGUACUGACGCUGAGGCGCGAAAGCGUGGGGAGCAAACGGG